CCUACGGGAGGCAGCAGUGGGGAAUCUUGCACAAUGGGGGCAACCCUGAUGCAGCGACGCCGCGUGAGCGAUGAAGCCCUUCGGGGUGUAAAGCUCUUUCGGCAGGAAAGAUUAUGACGGUACCUGCAGAAGAAGCUGCGGCUAACUACGUGCCAGCAGCCGCGGUAAUACGUAGGCAGCGAGCGUUGUUCGGAGUUACUGGGCGUAAAGAGUGUGUAGGCGGUCCUUUAAGUUCGGUGUGAAAUCUCCCGGCUCAACUGGGAGGGUGCGCCGGAAACUG
This 280-nucleotide ribosomal RNA is filed under the name uncultured bacterium. RNAcentral describes it as "partial 16S ribosomal RNA". It matches the Rfam family "Bacterial small subunit ribosomal RNA", at positions 338 to 635 of the family's 1533-position model. The record is from RNAcentral.